CAGACACAGGCUGUCUGCCAGCCUGGAUUUUUCUAGCUCAUAGCUUCGCCCUGCUAGGAAGCGUGUGUUCUUGUACAAAGGCCGUUCAGCGUCGGGAUUUACACUCGGCUCGACACGGAUAUGUGAAGAAUGAAGGGACCCUGCAGCGAAACGGAGAGCCAACCUCUGACUGAGUGCCUGUCAACACAGUCUGACCACCUGUUGAAGGGCUGUUUGAUGACGAUUUGGACUCCUCUGGGAGAUGAGGACACACCCACAUCUGUUCCAUACUGCAGCCAUGGAUGGUGUUACAGCUCUGAGUCAGCUUUGGGCCAUCAGACGCACACACUGGAAAACCAGCGCCUAUACUUCAUGCAGGAGAGACGGCCUCAGUGAUAAUUAAUAUUUUGCCGCGGCAGGGAAUUAAAAGGAACGGACUUCAGCGUGAACGACCAGUUCCCCAAAGAGAUCCUGGAACGACGCAGGGUUCUCUUCCCAAUCCGACGCGGCUUCAUCCAGAAGGGCUCCCGCGCUGUCAUCGCUGUGGACCGGCUGUACGUGGACGGACAGCUCCACCGCGACCCCGACAUCACUCCGUGGCUGUAUUAACUUCACACCAGAUAAGAAUCCGCUACACCCUUUCCCCAUCCACUCACACUAACUUGCAUUAACAUCUGUUUAACUUACCAAUAUCAAAUCGCAUCUUAGGUGUGAUAUCAUAGCAGAAGUAACACGUCACUCUCCGUCAAUGGUUUGAUUGGAAUGUUUCCAGGUUUUUUUUUUUCUCGUUUUUUUCCCUCUCUUUUUCCCCUCUUGUUUUUAUGCUGUUAAUUGUCCUUGGUUUCUUUCUUUUUUCUUUCUUUCACUGCUUCGAUCACCUGCUUCCACACUCAUCCACAAACAACAUCCUUUAUUUCGAUACAUACGCACAGCACGAUCACGCACAGUCAUGCGCUCAACGGCAGCACAUUUACAUCAGUCAGACAGCGCACACAGACCUACAGGAUACACACACUUAAGCCAAGCAUACUCAUAUUAGUAAAUAUGCAAACACAUAGUCAGAUUCAAGGAGCAUCUCAUCACACAUUUUUUCUCUCUCUCCUUCUCUGUAUUUAUGAACAAGUGAUGUACUCUCUCCACCUGUCUAAGCAACACACACAGCGCACACCCCUAGUUAUACACAGACAUCUAUGGGUGCACUAAGAUUCAUUACAUGGAAUGUAAAUGGAGCUGGCUCCAG
This is a long non-coding RNA of Oreochromis aureus, 1219 nucleotides long. The record is from Ensembl. NCBI's taxonomy places the organism in Eukaryota, Metazoa, Chordata, Actinopteri, Cichliformes, Cichlidae.